GAUGAACGCUGGCGGCGUGCCUAAUACAUGCAAGUCGAGCGAACAGACGAGGAGCUUGCUCCUCUGACGUUAACGGCGGAAGGGUGAGUAGCACGUGGAUAACCUACCUAUAAGACUGGGAUAACUUCGGGAAACCGGUGCUAAUACCGGAUAAUAUAUUGAACCGCAUGGUUCGAUAGUGAAAGACGGUUUUGCUGUCACUGCUAGAUGGAUCCGCGGCGUAUUAGCUAGUUGGUAAGGUAACGGCUUACCAAGGCAACGAUGCGUAGCCGACCGGAGAGGGUGAUCGGCCACACUGGAACUGAGACACGGUACAGACUCCGAGGGGAGGCAGAAGUAGGGAAGCGUCGGAAAAGGGCGAAAGCUUGCAGGAGCAGCGCCGCGUGGGUGAUGAAGGUCUGCGGAUCGUAAAACGCUGUUAGUAGGGAAGAACACAUUUGUAAGUAACUAUGCACGUCUUGACGGUACCUAAUCAGAAAGCAACGGCUAACUACGUG
This 497-nucleotide ribosomal RNA is filed under the name uncultured bacterium. RNAcentral describes it as "partial 16S ribosomal RNA". It matches the Rfam family "Bacterial small subunit ribosomal RNA", at positions 28 to 507 of the family's 1533-position model. The record is from RNAcentral.